UACGGGGGGGGGCAAGCGUUUGUUCGGAAUUACUGGGCGUAAAGGGUCCGUAGGUGGCCAACUAAGUCAGACGUGAAAUCCCUCAGCUUAACUGGGGGAACUGCGUCUGAGACUGGAUGGCUCGAGUGCAGGAGAGGAAUGCGGAAUUCCAGGUGUAGCGGUGAAAUGCGUAGAUAUCUGGAGGAACACCAGAGGUGAAGACGGGUUGCUGGGCCGACACUGACGCUGACAGCGCGAAAGCCAGGGGAGCAAACGGG
This 257-nucleotide ribosomal RNA is filed under the name uncultured bacterium. RNAcentral's name for it is "partial 16S ribosomal RNA". It matches the Rfam family "Bacterial small subunit ribosomal RNA", at positions 524 to 776 of the family's 1533-position model. The record is from RNAcentral.